This 108-nucleotide microRNA precursor is filed under the name Prunus dulcis (almond). Its description in RNAcentral is "sRNA ncRNA". The record is from RNAcentral. Lineage: Eukaryota; Viridiplantae; Streptophyta; Magnoliopsida; Rosales; Rosaceae.
AUUCGAAUAUUUAAAUAGUAUAGCCGGUCGGCUAUACCGUUAAAUAUAUUUUAAUAUUUAAAGUUUAAAUAGUAUAGCCGUCCGGCUAUACGUUUUAAACAUAUAUAC